GACGAACGCUGGCGGCGUGCUUAACACAUGCAAGUCGAACGGAAAGGCCCUGCUUCUGUGUGGUUCUCGAGUGGCGAACGGGUGAGUAACACGUGAGUAACCUGCUCUUUACUUUGGGAUAAUUUCAGGAAACUGGGGCUAAUACCGGAUAGGAGCUCCGGCUGCAUGGUGGGGGUUGGAAUGUUUCGGCGGUUUGGGAUGGACUCGCGGCUUAUCUGCUUGUUGGUGGGGUAGUGGCUCACCAAGGCUCUGACGGGUAGCCGGCCUGAGAGGGUGACCGGCCACAUUGGGACUGAGAUACGGCCCAGACUCCUACGGGAGGCAGCAGUGGGGAAUAUUGCACAAUGGGCGGAAGCCUGAUGCAGCAACGCCGCGUGCGGGAUGACGGCCUUCGGGGGGUAAACCGCUUUCGCCUGUGACGAAGCGUGAGUGACGGUAAUGGGUAAAGAAGCACCGGCUAACUACGUG
This 468-nucleotide ribosomal RNA is filed under the name uncultured bacterium. Its description in RNAcentral is "partial 16S ribosomal RNA". It matches the Rfam family "Bacterial small subunit ribosomal RNA", at positions 28 to 507 of the family's 1533-position model. The record is from RNAcentral.